Zea mays is the source of this 4955-nucleotide long non-coding RNA. RefSeq lists it as uncharacterized. The transcript has 3 exons. The record is from RefSeq and is a predicted model, not a curated record. Lineage: Eukaryota; Viridiplantae; Streptophyta; Magnoliopsida; Poales; Poaceae.
UAUAUGAUCUCCGUAGCAACACACGGGCACUCAACUAGUCAAUCCAUAUUUGGUCAAGGCGUCCAGCUCGUGCUACGGCUGUUGCCUGUUGGCAUUGGCACAUCUCUCUCCCUUUCUUCUCAGGAAAAUAUCCUAAUAAACAAGUUUUCACCAACAUUUUUACAGAAAAUUAUAUUUCUUUAUAAUACAAGCCAUGCGUCAACACUUUUGCAAGAAAACACUUCUAUUUCUUUGUAAUCAACUUGCAGUUCAAGCCGUGCGUCAACACUUUUAUAAUUUUUUUUAUAUUUCUUUGUAAUCAACCCAUGGUUUAAGCCUUUCCAUCCUGUUUCUAUGUGCCAUCACAACGCACGAAUAUUAUACUAGUCUCUACUAUAUAAAGUAUCGUUUUUCACGGUACAUGUGCUCCUCUAUAUCUAAAUAGUAAAAAGCUAAAAUUUCGAACCAUAGUUGUUAACUCUAAAAUCACAUUUAUAUCCUAGCUAACGGAACACACAUAUCUUUAUAUUUCAUACUCCCUCCGUCCUAAAAUAAUAUUCGUUUUAACUCUUGAUUUUUAUAUCUAUAUUCAAAUGGAUGAUGAUAAAUCUAGACACAUAUGCAAAACAUGUACAUAAAGUAUUGUAUGAAUCCAUUAAUUUUCUAACCCUAAAUUUUAAUUUAGUACAACAUGAGUAAUUUAUACUUAUAAAUGAAAAUCUCAUACUUUAUAUUUAUACCUAUAAAUGAAAAAUCGUAUUUUCCAUGAUUUGGUUGUUGGCACUUGGAAGCGUGAGAGCAGGCCAACGGUUGGGCUAAGCCGUUGUGGUGGAUCGUUAGCGCGGUGGACGGUGGUUGUGACCAACCAAACCGUCUAGCUCCCCCAAUCCCAUGAUGCAUGCGUCAAUGCGUGUGACCUCACCCAUACUGUACAUGGCACCACCUACUGCUCCCCUAUCCCCUGCCUGCUGUGUUCACUAACCCACCUCCGCCCCCCGUUCCGGGUCCCCCUCCCCGUCAGAAGGUUCCCCAGAUUUAUAGCCCGGAGUAGCGGCGGCGACGGGGCAUGCGCUCGGAGCCCAAACCAGGUUACAACGAGAGCAAGGCCAUCCCUGAUUCCCUGAUGCCUUCUUCCUUGAGAAGGCCUCCGCGGAGGCGUUCAUGGAGCGAGUCGAGUCGGUAGUGGGCGAGGUAUUCAACAUCGUCAGGCAGUGGCAAACUCAGCAGCAGAAGCAGGUCCAGGAGUUCCAGGCACUACACGACACACACUUGGCUCCAGAUGAGCAUUCAUAGUAUUUCGUCUUCCAUGUCAAUUAACCUAUAAACUCUUUAAUAAUUGACGUCUCGAUGAUGUGUUAUCAUCCAUGUUUAACUUAAAUGUGUUCUAGUUCUGAAAUACCAAAGUUUAUAAAACAAAAGAUAUGCAACAAGGAAUCAACAUUGAACUGUAGGUGUAUGUGUGAUAGCCUACCAAGUGUAAAAGUAGAUAUGUUCCCUUGGUUAGGUGUAGCUAAACAUAUGGUGAAAAUUGGCAGAAGGGAAAUGGUCCUAACAUUCAUUUUUUGGAAGAACUAUAUGGUAUAGACUACAGAGUUCAGAUGCUCAAGGUAGACAGUGGCUGUUUGGUUUGGAGGUAUAACAUAAAUAAAAUGUUCCAUGUUAUUAUUGAUAAAUGCAUUACAUACAAUAAAGAAUACCAUUGCAUACUUUUUUUUUAUUUCAUUCUUUAUUUUCUAUAACCCUGGUUGUACCUCACAUGCUACUGAAUUCUCUUAUAUAUAUGAUACAUAUAAGAGGAAGUAUUUCAAUGAGCCCAAAAGGCUAAGGAGAGAGCUGCAACUGAAGCUAGUGAAGAUAAGGGGACAAGGUCUCUAAGGGAAUCUUCAGCAACUACUCUAAUGACUACACCAAUGUCAUCUCCCCCUACUAUUCCCACACAGACAGAAUAGUUCUAGAAUUCUUGGUGGUAAUAAAGAGUUGUUGCUGAAGUAAAUGCAGUUCUUUCUGCAGCCAAAAAAACUUUAGUUGGCUUUCACAUGAUAUGUGGCGAUGAAAAUAUGUUUUCGUAUGAAUGGCAUCGUGAGGAAGAACUUUUGCAUCUAGAGUGUUUGGGUAUAUGUAAUAUGUUGUAUGCCAAAUGCAACUUCAAAAACCUUGGUAACAAUAUAGAAUUAGUGUCUUGAUUUAUGCUAUUUACUAAUAUUUUUAACUUAGAAUGGGGAAUUAAUUGCAGAAGCUUCAGAGGAGAUUUCUGAAAGAAUGGUUUAAUCUAGAAAAUAAUGAAUUAAUGUUCUUUUUGUAUCAAAUGCCAUAUGCAGAGGUAUUGUUUCAUUGAGGACUUCCAUUCUUCUAGUGACAAUAUGUAUGUGUACUGGAUUGUGCAAGCAAUUGCUGAUUACUUUGAUGUGUGGAUUCAUGCUUACACUUUGCAUCAUUCAUGGUUCUGUCAUAUUGUCUCCCAAGUUGAUUCCUAUAUGUCACUAUGUAAUGCAUGAUUUAAUGUAGAUGGCCACUAGUUAUGUGUGCAAAUUCUAGUUGAUGAAGUGGCAAUGUGUUCUCACUUAUCAGUCCCUGAUAAGCUAAAAUUUCACCAAAACCUGGUCAUAUAGACCAAGUGCAGGUAACCAUAUCAUAAAAAAUGCAAUUAUAUUAUUUUUGUUGUCGUGUUAUUGAAAUGUUGGAAAUAUAUUUUGGGCUAGAAGGAGGAUGGCCAGACUAUGUACUCUACUACUCUGCUUGGCCAGACUAUGUACUCUACUACUCUGCUUCUUCCUUUUCAGUAAACUCCCUUUAGAUACAUAUUUGAAAAAAAUAAGCUUAGAUUUUAUUAUGGCACUGGCAUACAUGGGCAUGAGAAAAAUUACGGUGUAAACAUUUUUAACAAAUCAUUGAGUAAUGUAGAAACAAGGACUUUGAGAAUUCUGUAUUUCUGUACUAGGAAACCAUAUGCUUAGGCAAUUCUUCAGAGGCCAUCUCUAUCUGUUCAUAGCCCUUGAUAAACUUGCUAUACCAUUUAGCAGACAAUUUUGGUGUUCGCUUUAGUGACUUGAAAUUCACAUGACAAAGACCAUACUUUACGGUGUAACCAGAGAUCCAUUCGAAGUUAUCCAUCAAAGACCACACAAAAUAACCUCUCACAUCUGCUCCUUUCCUGCACAAAAGUAGCAAAGUUUUAUUAUUACCUGGCUGGAGAGCAGUUUACAUGAAAAGAUAAUUGAGGCAUGCAACAACCUUAUUGCAAAGCUCAAGUAAGUGAGGUAGUCACGAAUGUAAGUUGAUCUUUCAAUAUCAUUAAUUAUUUCUUCUGCUGUAGUGCUAAUAUUGGCUAUUUGGGCAUAACCUGAAAGAUAAAAAAAGGGUGAUCAAGAGAUCCAUACAGAUAUUUUUUAUGGUACCAGUGUACUACAAGUGUAAUAUAUGUAAAUAAGCAUGGAAGUGAAUCAUUGUUAUGCACAAAGGCAUAUAUUUUGUAUCUAAUUUGUAGAUUUUAGGGAACCUAGUAACCCACCGUUCUCUGUGAUGUACAAAGGUAUGCUUUUAUAUCUCUGCUUUAAAUACAUGACCAACUUCUCCAUGGAGCUUGGAACGACAUAGGUGUUUGCAACAGGUGUCUGCAAUAUUAGUUUAGUUGUGUUAGCUUGUGCAUAAUUAAUUUGUAACUAGGAUUCUUGUUGAAUAGAAUAAUGCAAUAUACAAUGCCGAUUUUUACCGGUUUUCCAAUGGGUAUCCCAUUUCGUUCUGUUGAUAUAGAAACUAAAGCUUCAGAAGGGUAGGCGUCCAUAUCACAUAGAGAAUAUAUGCAAUCCUUGACAUAGAAUGUUUGGUAGUGAUUUACCCCGAUGAAGUCAAUUUGGUUCUUCAGUAGUUUCUUCUCUCCUUCUGUAAAUUUUGGCAAGUUUGGACCUAAGAUUUGGCGCAUCUGGUGAGGAUAGUCACCAAAGAACAAGGGAUCCAAGAUCCUGUUUUAGCAUAUAUCAUCAAGUGAGCAUUCAAUCGUGAAGAUCAAAAGUUAGUUCCAAUCGUAAAAUGCUAGUAUGAUGGAAGGUUACUGAAUCAAUUGAUACCAUGGAGCAUCGAAAGACAGAGCUCGGCUUACUGCCAAGUGGUCCUCUGUGAUAUUCCUUAGUGGUUCAUACCAUCUUAGAUGUAAUGAAAUUCCUACAAAGCCACCUUGCUUGGACUGAGAAGGAUGGGGAACAAGGAAAACAAAUUAUACAACUUUCAUGAGUAUUUAAGAGCAAGCACACGGGCUCAGUUGAUGAAUUCCCUGAAUCACAUUUCCCAUAUGGCUCGGAACAACGGUUGGGUGGAAAUGCCCCAAUGGAGUAUGCAAGCUUUACAAUAAGAUUUGGCUCAUUGAAUGUGACCCAGUGCUUUACUCGGUCACCAAACAUCUUGAAGCAAAGCUCAACGAAGUAGGUGAAGUCCUCCCUGAAUAGAAAUAAAGAAACAACCACAUAUGAACUUACGGCAUCUUCGUAGAUAAAGCUAUAAUAUAGGUGACUAACUGAAUUUGACUUACUGAAUCUCUGGGUUCAACCAAGAAUUGUAUCUUUCUUGGAGUUCUUCAGGUAUGUCAUAGUGGUUGAUCGUCACAAAUGGUUGUAUCCCUGCUCCAAGCGUAUCAAAUGUCAGGCCCAGAUGAAAUAGACUGGACUGAAAGGCGUGCUUGUUUUGCAGGAUGGCAUUUGUGGAGGGAGGUAGCUGCCCGCAUAAUAGCAGAACAGAAGGCGUACCUUUUUCUAGCAGUCCGUUGAUGAGGCUAUUGUAGAAUUUAACGCCUGCCUGAUUAACACCUCCGAAGCGACCCUCUGGCCAUGGAUAUUUGAAAGGUACAAGCAUAUAAUUUAAGUUAAACACCGGCACUAAGGAAGGAUCACGUGCGUGUUGUCGAGCUGGUAGCUGUGUCAGAAGUCAUUGACAGUUGGUGUAAUUCUGAGAAUGAGCUCACUUGGAAGAAUUCUCGACCACGACAA